This 440-nucleotide ribosomal RNA is filed under the name uncultured bacterium. RNAcentral describes it as "partial 16S ribosomal RNA". It matches the Rfam family "Bacterial small subunit ribosomal RNA", at positions 338 to 795 of the family's 1533-position model. The record is from RNAcentral.
CCUACGGGUGGCAGCAGUAGGGAAUAUUGCUCAAUGGGGGAAACCCUGAAGCAGCAACGCCGCGUGGAGGAUGAAGGUUUUAGGAUUGUAAAAUCCUUUUGUGAGAGAAGAUAAUGACGGUAUCUCACGAAUAAGCACCGGCUAACUCCGUGCCAGCAGCCGCGGUAAUACGGAGGGUGCAAGCGUUACUCGGAAUCACUGGGCGUAAAGAGUGCGCAGGCGGGCUUGUAAGUCAGAUGUGAAAUCCUGUAGAUUAACUACAGAACUGCAUUUGAAACUGUGAGUCUAGAGUGUGGGAGAGGUAGGUGGAAUUCGUGGUGUAGGGGUAAAAUGCGUAGAUAUCAAGAGGAAUACUCAUUGCGAAGGCGACCUACUGGAACAUUACUGACGCUCAUGCACGAAAGCGUGGGGAGCAAACAGGAUUAGAUACCCUAGUAGUC